RNAcentral lists this ribosomal RNA (377 nucleotides) under uncultured organism. RNAcentral describes it as "partial 16S ribosomal RNA". It matches the Rfam family "Bacterial small subunit ribosomal RNA", at positions 523 to 896 of the family's 1533-position model. The record is from RNAcentral.
CGGGGGGGGGGGCAAGCGUUGUUCGGAAUUACUGGGCGUAAAGGGCGCGUAGGCGGCCUAGCAAGUCCUUCGUGAAAUCCCAUGGGCUCAACUGUGGAACUGCGGAGGAUACUGCUAGGCUUGAGUCCGGGAGAGGGUAGUGGAAUUCCCAGUGUAGCGGUGAAAUGCGUAGAUAUUGGGAGGAACACCGGCGGCGAAGGCGGCUACCUGGACCGGUACUGACGCUGAGGCGCGAAAGCUAGGGGAGCAAACGGGAUUAGAUACCCCGGUAGUCCUAGCUGUAAACGUUGAGCACUUGGUGUGGCGGGUAUCGACCCCUGCUGUGCCGAAGCUAACGCAUUAAGUGCUCCGCCUGGGGAGUACGGUCGCAAAGGCUG